AUGGUUACAAAUGUCCAGCAGAAUAAGAGCUAGAAUUCUACUGCACAACGUUGUUAAAUUUCCUAUGAAUAUUUAUGUAUCCUAGUUUGUUAAAGCAGUCAUUAUAUGGAUAUUGGGAUAAAUUUGAUGUAAGCCUAGUUAAUAAACUAUGCUGCCUGUCCAAUGAGUUCUUGUUCGGCAUCAGCAUCUACUCAAACACUUGAUGCAUUGCUGUAAUUUUGGGCUUUGUUCAACUCAUCAACCAUCAGCUCUUUGCUGAAAGGUGCUUUUGGAUUGCAUGUUUAGUUUAAUGGCCACAUCAUGCGCAUAAGCGACUGCUGAUUUGUUUUUGUUUUUUUCAACUGCAAAUGAGGCUGUUAAACAAAACUAGAGAGUGUGUUGAUAUGAUAUACACAAAAGAUUCUGGCUUUUGAAUCAGUUUCUCUCGCUUUAGAGGAGUCUAGAUAGAGAAGGCAUCUCACUCACAACAAAAUAAAAGACUAUAUAUAUAUAUAUAGGAGUAUGUUAGUUGUCACCUUAAUUAUAUAUCUAUACCAGACUUGCAUUAGACACUAGAAUAUUGCUAAGAAGAAAAACCAUCAUGAAGUUUUCCAUGUGGCUUAUAAGUUUGGUGCUCGUGUUUUCAUGUGCAGCGAUUGUAGGUGGCCCCAUCACCAAGCCUAUAACGAUUGCCAGACGCGAAUUGGAGGCUGAGUUUAGGAUGAGCCCAAGUCAGCAUGAGUGGCCUCAGAGAUCAAGCCCUGGAGGGCCUGAUCAGCACCAUCAUCGCAGCCGCCUCUCAUCUUCAAAACAAAGAAACCAGAUUGAUUAAUGAGGCUUACAACGAUCGUGCUUUGCGAGUUGUACUUUGCCCAGAUUCUCAGCAGAGAUUGGUGAAUAAUGUAGACUUUACUUGUUCAAUCAUUGAUGUUGAUGAUUCUCUCCACAAGAUCUUGGAACAUACUUUUCGAAUAUCUGUUAUCUGUUGUAUGUGUUUUUUACUUCAAGAACAAGAAUGUGUUGCAGAAAUCUCAACUAAUUAAGCAGUAAGUAUUAACAGAUGCUAAAGAUGGAAAAGGUUGUGCAAAUUCUG
This 1072-nucleotide long non-coding RNA is filed under the name Salvia miltiorrhiza (redroot sage). RNAcentral describes it as "long non-coding RNA (SMIL_LNC000555)". The record is from RNAcentral. Lineage: Eukaryota; Viridiplantae; Streptophyta; Magnoliopsida; Lamiales; Lamiaceae.